CUGACCUUUCUUGGGGAUUCUGACCAAACUGCAGUGGAAGACAGCUAAUAUCUUCCAGGAUUUUCCAUGAUUAAGCACAUCUUCUUUGAUUGAGUGAAAUGUCAUUAAGAUGGGAACAGGCUUCAGCGUACCUGUGUGAGUCAAAAAAUGACACGGAAGGCUCCACACCGUGUGAGGCUGCUGUAAAAGAGAAGUGGGCAGGGUCAGGAAGGAGAAUUAGGCUGGGAAAUCGGGAGGGACUGCACCUGUGUUGGACCAUGAGGGAGCCCAAAGUGUCUCAGGUUCCUCCCUACACUGACUAAUCCCUUUUGUCUGCUGUGCACAAGCACCAGUACCUGCCUGAAACCCCUUCAGCCCUCAGAUUUCCACUCACAGCUGUCUCCAGAGUGUCGCAAGGAAAGAUGAUGGAUGGGCAGACUUUUAUUUCCAUUAGAAGGGAGCCAACUGAAUAUUUCCAACAGCUUUAUUAAAAAUACUAGUUCUUGCUUUGCUUAAUCUUGAAAAAUGUGACAUGUUCCUGCAGCUGAGUUUGCAUUUUGUCUGGGAAAUGGAUGCCUGAGGUGGAAUGAUUUUCUGGAGGAGCAGAGCAGGGAACAAUUUAGUGUCUUCCCUUCCACAGGCAGAGAGGGUCCAGCUCUGAAGAGAGGAGCUGAUAGCCCACAGAUGCCAUCUCCCCAAGGGGCUGUACUUCAGGUUUUUGGGAAUGUGACCCCUGAAAUCCAACAGCAAAGGCAGUCAGGCUGAUCAAACUGGAGGCCUCCCUGUCAUCUCAGCCUCACUGCUGUGCUCCCUGACCACCCCUGAGCUCUGAAGAGCAUUGCCCUCCCUCCUCAGGGUUUCUGUCAUCCCAGCUGUUGACACACUGCUCAUGACCCAUAGUUGGCAUCAUUUACAGAAGACUUUUGGAAGAGAGUACUGGAGUGUUUGGGUUCAAUGGGAUGGGGUGGCAAAGAGGAAAACAAAUUAGAAGCGCAGGAGGGUGUCAGGUUUGGGUGAAUAACUGCUUCAUCACCACAGUGUCUGCAUAACUAAAACUCUGCCCAAAGAAUAGAGUUUGUCCAAGGUUUUUCUUCUCUUGCUUUUCCUAUUUCCCUCUUGUUUUCCCAGAAAUAGAACAUGACAUUUAUUUUUAUGGACAGCAGGAUCUUAUGGCUAUUCCCCUGUGACGGAGUAAUCUGAACACAAUUAUGUUCUGUUGACAAAAAGUGAUAAAAGUGUAUUGUGUCAACACUCUGAACUAACAGAUUUGUCAUCUUCUCUACUUCCAAAUAAUAGAAACAGAAUUAGAAAAUGCUCUGACAGACUCUAUCUAUUUCUAUGGUUAAAUAAGCACCAGCCCUGUGCUUGGUUACUGUACUCACUGUUCUCCCUCUUCCAGAAAAAUCUGUCUGGCUGUGUUUUAAAUUCAAGUGUAAAUUUUGCUUUGAUGGACUUCUUUUGGCAGCUUAUAGCUUAUAUGCUCUGAAGUAAUUUGACCUAAGUUCUCCAUUUCCUUUCAGUCUUACUACUCCCAUUUCUUUCCAUGGCUUUGAAAAAUCUAAGCUUUUUUUCCGUAUCUUUGUUUUCCCAUACAAAUUUCCUUCUAGAAAAUGUAUUCGAAAAUAGUACCUGUAUUAUA
Long non-coding RNA from Poecile atricapillus (Black-capped chickadee), 1618 nucleotides. RefSeq lists it as uncharacterized. NCBI's taxonomy places the organism in Eukaryota, Metazoa, Chordata, Aves, Passeriformes, Paridae. The record is from RefSeq and is a predicted model, not a curated record. The transcript is spliced from 4 exons.